UUUGAUCGAUGAUGAUCAUCCGAUGAUAAUUCAUUUGAUUUUUUUCUAUUUGAACUUUAGACUUGUUGAUGAUUAGAUGGGUUUUUCUUGCUCAUUGUUCAUGAAUUUUUGUUUUUUUAUUUGUUUUUUAUUUUUAAUUUUAUGAAUGUGAGAGAUUAUUGUGUGAAGUGUGUGUGUGUGUGUGUGUGCGUUGCGAUGUAAUUGUCGAUUUGUUUCACUUUUAAUUCGUUUAGAAUGAAGGGUAAGUGCUGUCGGUUGGCAAAUUUUGCUCUCUUCAUCUCUCGGGCCUCAAUUAUAAAAACAAAACAAGAGCCAUGAAAAAUAAAUUGAGACUUUGACCCGAAUUCAGUUUGUUUUUUUUUCCUGGUGACACCAUUUUUUUUUUUUUUUUGUUUUCGUCAUUUUUUAGAUUAAUGUGUUGAUUAUUAUUGUUGUGGUUAUAUAUCCAACAUGUUGUCAUCAUGUAGUCGUUUAUGCUGUUGUCGUAAAUCGUUGAUCAUCAAAAAUCGAAGCCAAUUUAUGUGAUUAAACUUUUUUUUUUCGCUGUCAUCAUAAUAAUUUUU
Non-coding RNA from Dermatophagoides farinae (American house dust mite), 563 nucleotides. NCBI's taxonomy places the organism in Eukaryota, Metazoa, Arthropoda, Arachnida, Sarcoptiformes, Pyroglyphidae. The record is from RefSeq and is a predicted model, not a curated record.